This 91-nucleotide transfer RNA is filed under the name Candidatus Omnitrophota bacterium. RNAcentral's name for it is "Candidatus Omnitrophica bacterium tRNA-Ser". It matches the Rfam family "tRNA". From Rfam's summary of the family: Transfer RNA (tRNA) molecules are approximately 80 nucleotides in length. Their secondary structure includes four short double-helical elements and three loops (D, anti-codon, and T loops). Further hydrogen bonds mediate the characteristic L-shaped molecular structure. tRNAs have two regions of fundamental functional importance: the anti-codon, which is responsible for specific mRNA codon recognition, and the 3' end, to which the tRNAs corresponding amino acid is attached (by aminoacyl-tRNA synthetases). tRNAs cope with the degeneracy of the genetic code in two manners: having more than one tRNA (with a specific anti-codon) for a particular amino acid; and 'wobble' base-pairing, i.e. permitting non-standard base-pairing at the 3rd anti-codon position. The record is from RNAcentral. Lineage: Bacteria; Pseudomonadati; Candidatus Omnitrophota. RNAcentral also lists the same sequence under 1 other name.
GGAGAGGUGGCUGAGUGGUUGAAAGCGACGGAUUGCUAAUCCGUUAUAUCGGUAUCUGCCGGUAUCGGGGGUUCAAAUCCCCCCCUCUCCG